Molecule: long non-coding RNA, 609 nt
Filed under: Gadus morhua (Atlantic cod)
Lineage: Eukaryota; Metazoa; Chordata; Actinopteri; Gadiformes; Gadidae
Description: lncRNA (ENSGMOG00000031254.1)
Source: RNAcentral
AUGGUUUUGUUGCUUGAAAAUGUAUACAUUAUAGUUCUCAAUGGCAAGAGUUUAACAAUUUAUGCAUUUUUUUUCAUUUUGCAACUUCUGUAUUUCCGGGUGGAUGUACUUUCUGAAGAUAUGGCAAACAGUGCUGGAAGAUCUGACGAUCUUAAGAUGUUCAAAAAAAAGGUUCAUCGUCUGAAGUUUUCGGUGGUGCAUUUUCUUGAGGAAAAUGAGGUGGAUGUGGCACCAUCAUUAUGGUUGGCGAAGAGCAAUGGGGUUCUGAAUUGCUAUUGGCCGGCAAAUAAUGCCAGCGUUCUGGCAAGACGCUGUGCUCUGCCCGACAAGGUACUUUGGAAAAAGUACAAAGUUCGCGUUUUCUCUACAACAGACAGCUACAGCCUGGCCAGGGAGAGGGCAAGAAAGGGGCAAGACACCUCUCAGGUGGAAACGGAGGAGAUAAAUUCGAGGAGGAUAAACGUUCCUGCCAGGUACCAGGAGCCUGAAAGUGACGGUAUAUAUAUAUAUAUAUAUAUAUAUAUAUAUAUAUAUAUAUAUGAGUUCUCUGUUGAAUAUAUUGUAAGACUCAUGUUUUUAAUUUUUUUUUUUUUCAUACAUGCCUCAUGA